GAUGAACGCUGGCGGCGUGCCUAAUACAUGCAAGUCGAGCGAACGGACGAGAAGCUUGCUUCUCUGAUGUUAGCGGCGGACGGGUGAGUAACACGUGGAUAACCUACCUAUAAUACUUGGAUAACUUCGGGAAACCGGAGCUAAUACCGGAUAAUAUUUUGAACCGCAUGGUUCAAAAGUUAAAGACGGUCUUGCUGUCACUUAUAGAUGGUUACGCGCUGCAUUAGCUAGUUGGUAAGGUAACGGCUUACCAAGGCAACGAUGCAUAGCCGACCUGAGAGGGUGAUCGGCCACACUGGAACUGAGACACGGUCCAGACUCCUACGGGAGGCAGCAGUAGGGAAUAUUCCGCAAUGGGCGAAAGCAUGACGGAGCAACGCCGCGUGAGUGAUGAAGGUCUUCGGAUCGUAAAACUCUGUUAUUAGGGAAGAACAUAUGUGUAAGUAACUGUGCACAUAUUGACGGUACCUAAUCAGAAAGCCACGGCUAACUACGUG
RNAcentral lists this ribosomal RNA (497 nucleotides) under uncultured bacterium. RNAcentral describes it as "partial 16S ribosomal RNA". It matches the Rfam family "Bacterial small subunit ribosomal RNA", at positions 28 to 507 of the family's 1533-position model. The record is from RNAcentral.